UUGACCUCAAAUCAGGUAGGACUACCCGCUGAACUUAAGCAUAUCAAUAAGCGGAGGAAAAGAAACUAACAAGGAUUCCCCUAGUAACUGCGAGUGAAGCGGGAAAAGCUCAAAUUUAAAAUCUGGCGGUCGUCGACCGUCCGAGUUGUAAUCUAGAGAAGC
Molecule: ribosomal RNA, 162 nt
Filed under: uncultured fungus
Lineage: Eukaryota; Fungi
Description: partial 28S ribosomal RNA
Rfam family: Eukaryotic large subunit ribosomal RNA
Source: RNAcentral